CCAAAGGAGAGAAUCCUGAGGCGCUCGGAUGAAUCACGGUUAAGGAACUCGGCAAAUUAGCCCCGUAACUUCGGGAAAAGGGGCGCCAGCAGCAAUGCUGGCCGCAGAAAAAUGGCUCAGGCGACUGUUUAUCAAAAACACAGGGCUCUGCAAAAUCGCAAGAUGAAGUAUAGGGCCUGACACCUGCCCGGUGCCGGAAGGUUAAGAGGAGAGGUUAGCGCAAGCGAAGCUUUGAAUCGAAGCCCCGGUAAACGGCGGCCGUAACAAUAACGGUCCUAAGGUAGCGAAAUUCCUUGUCGGGUAAGUUCCGACCUGCACGAAUGGUGUAACGAUCUGAGCACUGUCUCAACCGUGAGUCCGGUGAAAUUGUAGUAUCGGUGAAGAUGCCGGUUACCCGCUACGGGACGGAAAGACCCCGUGAACCUUCACUAUAGCUUUACAUUGACAUUUGACAAAAGAUGUGUAGGAUAGGUGGGAGGCUUCGAAGCGGUUUCGCCAGGAAUCGUGGAGCCACCGUUGAAAUACCACCCUUCGUUUGUCGGGUGUCUAACGUCGCGGUGCGACAGACAGUGUAUGGCGGGUAGUUUGACUGGGGUGGUCGCCUCCAAAAAAGUAUCGGAGGCUUCCAAAGGUACCCUCAGCACGCUUGGUAACCGUGCGCAGAGUGCAAUGGCAUAAGGGUGCUUGACUGCGAGACCAACAAGUCGAGCAGGGACGAAAGUCGGGCAUAGUGAUCCGGCGGUUCCGUAUGGAAGGGCCGUCGCUCAAAGGAUAAAAGGUACUCCGGGGAUAACAGGCUGAUCACUCCCAAGAGCUCACAUCGACGGAGUGGUUUGGCACCUCGAUGUCGGCUCGUCACAUCCUGGGGCUGGAGAAGGUCCCAAGGGUUAGGCUGUUCGCCUAUUAAAGUGGCACGCGAGCUGGGUUCAGAACGUCGUGAGACAGUUCGGUCCCUAUCUGUAGCGGGCGUUGGAAAAUUGCGGAGAGCUGACCCUAGUACGAGAGGACCGGGUCGGACGUACCUCCGGUGUACCUGUUGUCUCGCCAGAGGCACCGCAGGGUAGCCGCGUACGGAACGGAUAAGCUCUGAAAGCAUCUAAGCGCGAAGCCGACUCCAAGAUGAGUUUUCCUUAUCAGGGCCGUGGAAGAUCACCACGUCGAUAGGCCACAGGUGUAAAGGCGGUAACGUCAAAGCCGAGUGGUACUAAUUGCCCAG
Molecule: ribosomal RNA, 1216 nt
Filed under: metagenome
Description: bacterial LSU rRNA
Rfam family: Bacterial large subunit ribosomal RNA
Source: RNAcentral